UAUAGCUUCUAUUCUAUACACUAAGGAUAAUAGAAUGACUUUGGUUAUAACCUUGUAGGUUGUAAAGUAAAUCCAUAAGGUUGUUAAUAAUUUUGUGUCUCAAUUUAUCUUUGAAACUUAUAUUGUCAUUUUUAGGAUCUUAACUAAGGUUUGGUUCAUUUUUUUUAUAUGACCAUUAAUUUAUGGAUGGUAGAGAGUAGUCAUACAAUAUUUAAUAUUAAACCUAUUAUUCAUCUCUUCUAUCAUACUAUUUAAGAAUUAUGUUCCU
RNAcentral lists this long non-coding RNA (268 nucleotides) under Physcomitrium patens. Its description in RNAcentral is "long non-coding RNA (PPAT_LNC011930)". Lineage: Eukaryota; Viridiplantae; Streptophyta; Bryopsida; Funariales; Funariaceae. The record is from RNAcentral.